CCUACGGGUGGCUGCAGUCGAGAAUCAUUCACAAUGGGGGAAACCCUGAUGGUGCGACGCCGCGUGGGGGAAUGAAGGCCUUCGGAUUGUAAACUCCUGUCAUGUGGGAGCAAAUUAAAAAGAUAGUACCACAAGAGGAAGAGACGGCUAACUCGGUGCCAGCAGCCGCGGUAAUACAGAGGUCUCAAGCGUUGUUCGGAAUCACUGGGCGUAAGGCGUGCGUAGGCUGUUUCGUAAGUCGUGUGUGAAAGGCGCGGGCUCAACCCGCGGACGGCACAUGAUACUACGAGACUAGAGUAAUGGAGGGGGAACCGGAAUUCUCGGUGUAGCAGUGAAAUGCGUAGAUAUCAAGAGGAACACUCGUGGCGAAGGCGGGUUCCUGGACAUUAACUGACGCUGAGGCACGAAGGCCAGGGGAGCGAAAGGGAUUAGAUACCCGGGUAGUC
RNAcentral lists this ribosomal RNA (446 nucleotides) under uncultured bacterium. Its description in RNAcentral is "partial 16S ribosomal RNA". It matches the Rfam family "Bacterial small subunit ribosomal RNA", at positions 338 to 795 of the family's 1533-position model. The record is from RNAcentral.